Molecule: ribosomal RNA, 35 nt
Filed under: Umbilicaria africana
Lineage: Eukaryota; Fungi; Ascomycota; Lecanoromycetes; Umbilicariales; Umbilicariaceae
Description: partial 18S ribosomal RNA
Source: RNAcentral
UCGUAACAAGUCGUAGUGACUGCGGAGGAUCAUUA